Molecule: long non-coding RNA, 388 nt
Filed under: Mytilus galloprovincialis (Mediterranean mussel)
Lineage: Eukaryota; Metazoa; Mollusca; Bivalvia; Mytilida; Mytilidae
Source: RNAcentral
UGUUAUAUAUUUCAUUAGGUCUUUCCACCUUUCUUGUGGAAAGACCUAUUGUAUUUGUUCUAAUUAUUUUUUUUUUCUUCCGCCUAAUUUUUUUCUUGCGGUGUAAAAAUGUUUCAAAAGAUGUCGCUUAGUUUUUUUGUAUAUGAUAUCAUUCAGUCUAUACGCUUUUGAAACUGACCCUGUUUAACCGAACACUUUUCUUUGUAAGAGUUAUCUCCCCAAACACUGUUUUUCUUGUUAUCAGAUCUCCUCCGCAACCGUAAAAGAAAGCGACAAAUUUAUUUUUCCAAAUUGCUCGUUAUAUCCUCAGGAUGUUACGUUUUAUUUUCACCGAAGCUUUACGAAGACUCCAUAUGAGAGUUAUUUCCCCUUUUGUAAUGAAAUAAAU